This is a long non-coding RNA of Phasianus colchicus (ring-necked pheasant), 628 nucleotides long. RefSeq lists it as uncharacterized. Lineage: Eukaryota; Metazoa; Chordata; Aves; Galliformes; Phasianidae. The record is from RefSeq and is a predicted model, not a curated record.
CAGUGUGACACACUGCUCAAUGUGACACACCUGCUUAAUGUGACACACCUCCUCCCAUGAACAGACACAGUAGCAACAGGUGAUGCAGAAGAGCAUCAGCAGGAAGGCAGAUGAGAAAAGAGCCAUGCAACCAUCAUUCCUCUGCUCCCCUCCUUCAGCACAGCAGUGCCCAGCUGUCCAGAUGGGAGAGAGGGAGCGAAGGAGGGAGAGAAGCUGCAUGGAAGAGCAGAGCCAGAAGUGGGAACACCGGCUCUUCUGAAAAGCUUCUCUUCAAAUUUAGCAAAAUAAUAAAAAUGCAUAAGUGAAUUCUUCUAUUUGCGUACUGCACUCUUUGUACAGCUCCUUCCUGCCCGAGCAUCUAUUGGCCUCAGCAUUCCCAGAUACCACAACACUGUCUCCUCAGCAGAACCACGUGCAGCACGUCCUGCUGCGAAGCACGAGCAGAGCACACGUGAGCCCAUGGCGCGGCACGCUGUCCCAAAGGGUGGAUGUGUUCCUGAGCCACAGGAAAUUCCUCCAGCACCUCCUGCCCACCCUGCAGUGCCCACGCACCUUCUAAGGGAAGAAGGGAUGAGUCAGAAAUCAUUCCAUUCAUUGCCCAAGAAAUUAAAUCUGUUGACUCACACAA